GCUGUCGUCAGCUCGUGUCGUGAGACGUCGGGUUAAGUCCCUUAACGAGCGAAACCCCUGUCGUUAGUUGCCAGCGAUUCGGUCGGGUACUCUAACGAGACUGCCUAAGUUAAUGCGGAGGAAGGCGGGGACGACGUCAAGUCCUCAUGGCCCUUACGCCUAGGGCUGCACACGUCCUACAAUGGAUUCCACAAAGGGAAGCGAGACCGCGAGGUUUAGCAAAUCACCAAAAAGGAUCCUCAGUUCUGAUUGUAGUCUUCAACUCUACUACAUUAAGCCGGAAUCGCUAUUAAUCGCGGGUCAGCAUACCGCGGUGAAUGUGUUCCUGAGCCUUGUACACACCGCCCGUCAAGCCACGAAAGCAGGGGGCGUCCGAAGUCGCCGAAGCAACCUUUAUUGGAGCUAAGCGCCGAAGACGAACUUUGCGAUUGGGACUAAGUCGUAACAAGGUAGCCGUAGGGGAACCUGCGGCUGGAUCACCUCCUUU
This 487-nucleotide ribosomal RNA is filed under the name Thermoguttaceae bacterium. Its description in RNAcentral is "bacterial SSU rRNA". It matches the Rfam family "Bacterial small subunit ribosomal RNA", at positions 1048 to 1533 of the family's 1533-position model. Lineage: Bacteria; Pseudomonadati; Planctomycetota; Planctomycetia; Pirellulales; Thermoguttaceae. The record is from RNAcentral.